AGGACGAACGCUGGCGGCGCGCUUAACACAUGCAAGUCGAACGAAGCAACAGUGAAGGAGGCUUCGGCCAAUGGAUCUGUUGACUUAGUGGCGGACGGGUGAGUAACGCGUGAGCAACCUGCCUUUCAGAGGGGGGAUAACGUUUGGAAACGAACGCUAAUACCGCAUGACAUAGCUUUAUCGCAUGGUAGGGCUAUCAAAGGAGCAAUCCGCUGAAAGAUGGGCUCGCGUCCGAUUAGAUAGUUGGUGGGGUAACGGCCUACCAAGUCGACGAUCGGUAGCCGGACUGAGAGGUUGAACGGCCACAUUGGGACUGAGACACGGCCCAGACUCCUACGGGAGGCAGCAGUGGGGAAUAUUGCACAAUGGGCGCAAGCCUGAAUGCAGCAACGCCGCGUGAGGGAAGACGGUUUUCGGAUUGUAAACCUCUGUCCUUGGUGAAGAAGAAUGACGGUAGCCGAGGAGGAAGCCACGGCUAACUACGUGCCAGCCGCUGC
Molecule: ribosomal RNA, 497 nt
Filed under: uncultured bacterium
Lineage: Bacteria
Description: bacterial SSU rRNA
Rfam family: Bacterial small subunit ribosomal RNA
Source: RNAcentral